This 28-nucleotide non-coding RNA is filed under the name Rattus norvegicus (Norway rat). The record is from RNAcentral. Lineage: Eukaryota; Metazoa; Chordata; Mammalia; Rodentia; Muridae.
UAUGAGCAGUUAGUUAUCAAAGUGAAGC